GAUCUCCGCUGAUGACUCGCACUGGGCUCUGAGUUCCACUGGAGACAGCGUGCACCUUCGGCCCUGACAAGCCGAAGCUUCUGAGGAGAUG
Synchiropus splendidus (mandarinfish) is the source of this 91-nucleotide small nucleolar RNA. The record is from RefSeq and is a predicted model, not a curated record. Lineage: Eukaryota; Metazoa; Chordata; Actinopteri; Syngnathiformes; Callionymidae.